This is a non-coding RNA of Yarrowia lipolytica, 74 nucleotides long. Lineage: Eukaryota; Fungi; Ascomycota; Dipodascomycetes; Dipodascales. The record is from Rfam.
GGUUUCUUGGUCUAGUUGGUCAUGGCAUCUGCUUAACACGCAGAACGUCGGCAGUUCGAUCCUGCCAGAAAUCA